RNAcentral lists this ribosomal RNA (468 nucleotides) under uncultured bacterium. RNAcentral describes it as "partial 16S ribosomal RNA". It matches the Rfam family "Bacterial small subunit ribosomal RNA", at positions 28 to 507 of the family's 1533-position model. The record is from RNAcentral.
GACGAACGCUGGCGGCGUGCUUAACACAUGCAAGUCGAACGGAAAGGCCCUGCUUUUGUGGGGUGCUCGAGUGGCGAACGGGUGAGUAACACGUGAGUAACCUGCCCUUGACUUUGGGAUAACUUCAGGAAACUGGGGCUAAUACCGGAUAGGAGCUCCUGCUGCAUGGUGGGGGUUGGAAAGUUUCGGCGGUUGGGGAUGGACUCGCGGCUUAUCAGCUUGUUGGUGGGGUAGUGGCUUACCAAGGCUUUGAAGGGUAGGCGGCCUGGGAGGGUGACCGGCCACAUUGGGACUAAGAUACGGCCCAGACUCCUACGGGAGGCAGCAGUGGGGAAUAUUGCACAAUGGGCGGAAGCCUGAUGCAGCAACGCCGCGUGCGGGAUGACGGCCUUCGGGUUGUAAACCGCUUUCGCCUGUGACGAAGCGUGAGUGACGGUAAUGGGUAAAGAAGCACCGGCUAACUACGUG